This 86-nucleotide long non-coding RNA is filed under the name Canis lupus familiaris (dog). RNAcentral describes it as "lncRNA (ENSCAFG00030001914.1)". The record is from RNAcentral. Lineage: Eukaryota; Metazoa; Chordata; Mammalia; Carnivora; Canidae.
CAGGGACAGAGCUUCCAAGAGUCUCUGGUAGCCCCUGGACUCCGCCGGACACAGAGGCCGAGUGAAAGAUGCGAAGGCUCCUAGGA